CCUACGGGUGGCAGCAGUGAGGCAUAUUGGUCAAUGGGCGCGAGCCUGAACCAGCCAAGCAGCGUGAAGGAUGACUGCACUAAGGGUCGUCAACUUCUUUUAUCAAGGAAUAAAGUCAGGCACGUGUGCCUUGUUGUAUGUACUUUAUGAAUAAGCAUCAGCUAACUCCGUGCCAGCAGCCGCGGUAAUACGGAGGAUCCGAGCGUUCUCCGGAUUUAUUAGGUUUAAAGGGUGCGUAGAUGGGUUGUUAAGUCAGUGGUGAAAGUUUGGGGCUCAACCGUAAGACUGCAGUUGAUAAUGGCAGCAUUGAGUACGGUUGAGGUAUGCGGAAUGCGUGGUGUAGCGGUGAAAUGCUUAGAUAUCACGAAGAACUCCGAUUGCGAAGGCAGCCUGCUAGACUGCCACUGACAUUGAUGCUCGAAAGUGUGGGUAUCGAACAGGAUUAGAUACCCGAGUAGUC
Molecule: ribosomal RNA, 460 nt
Filed under: uncultured bacterium
Lineage: Bacteria
Description: partial 16S ribosomal RNA
Rfam family: Bacterial small subunit ribosomal RNA
Source: RNAcentral